GACGAACGCUGGCGGCGUGCUUAACACAUGCAAGUGGAGCGACGAACCAGGCUUCGGCCUGGGGCAAAGCCGCGAACGGGUGAGUAACACGUGGGUAACCUGCCCCGAAGAUCGGGACAACCCGGGGAAACCCGGGCUAAUACCGAAUGUGCUCCCGCCACAUCAGUGGCAGGUGCAAAGGAAGCUCCGGCCUCCGCUUCGGGAGGGGCCCGCGGCCCAUUAGCUUGUUGGUGAGGUAACGGCUCACCAAGGCUCCGAUGGGUAGCUGGUCUGAGAGGACGAUCAGCCACACUGGGACUGAGACGCGGCCCAGACUCCUACGGGAGGCAGCAGUGGGGAAUCUUGCGCAAUGCGCGAAAGCGUGACGCAGCAACGCCGCGUGGGGAAGAAGGCCU
This 395-nucleotide ribosomal RNA is filed under the name uncultured bacterium. Its description in RNAcentral is "bacterial SSU rRNA". It matches the Rfam family "Bacterial small subunit ribosomal RNA", at positions 28 to 417 of the family's 1533-position model. The record is from RNAcentral.